UACGUAGGGGGCAAGCGUUGUCCGGAAUCAUUGGGCGUAAAGAGCGUGUAGGCGGCUUUACAGGUCCGUUGUGAAAACUCGAGGCUCAACCUCGAGACGCCGGUGGAAACCGUAAAGCUAGAGUCCGGAAGAGGAGAGUGGAAUUCCUGGUGUAGCGGUGAAAUGCGCAGAUAUCAGGAGGAACACCCGUGGCGAAAGCGGCUCUCUGGGACGGUACUGACGCUGAGACGCGAAAGCGUGGGGAGCGAACAGG
RNAcentral lists this ribosomal RNA (253 nucleotides) under uncultured bacterium. RNAcentral describes it as "partial 16S ribosomal RNA". It matches the Rfam family "Bacterial small subunit ribosomal RNA", at positions 524 to 776 of the family's 1533-position model. The record is from RNAcentral.